Molecule: long non-coding RNA, 312 nt
Organism: Mytilus trossulus (common blue mussel)
Lineage: Eukaryota; Metazoa; Mollusca; Bivalvia; Mytilida; Mytilidae
Exons: 9
Source: RefSeq, a predicted model, not a curated record
GCUCUUUGUUCAAGAUGCAAGGAUUUAAACUGAGAGUUGAAAAAAUGUUUUCAAACAGCAGGACGUAAUUGGAAUAGCUGUAUACGAUGCAUGUCUAUCAACUGAGAGUUUUUAAACAGCAAGACGUAAUUGGAAUAGCUAUUUAAGGAUAUAAUGGCAAGUCGAUCUAAGGGUAAAAAGUCAAGUUCGGAUGAGGAUUCAAAGAAUAGUUCCGAUGAAGAUAAUAGUAAAAGGAGGAAUUUGGAUAUAGCAGCAAGUGUGUUUGAUGAUAUGGCGAGUUUGUUUGAUGAUAAAAAAGCAGUGCAGAAAAUA